CCCUUAGAUGUUCUGGGCCGCACGCGCGCUACACUGAUGAAUGCAACGAGCUCUACCCUUGACCGAAAGGCCCGGGUAAACUUGUGAAACUUCAUCGUGAUGGGGAUAGAUUAUUGCAAUUAUUAAUCUUCAACGAGGAAUUCCUAGUAAGCGUGAGUCAUCAGCUCGCGUUGAUUACGUCCCUGCCCUUUGUACACACCGCCCGUCGCUACUACCGAUUGAAUGGCUUAGUGAGGUCUUGGGAUUGGCUUCGAGGAACCGGCAACGGUACCUUGUUGCUGAGAACUUGAUCAAACUUGGUCAUUUAGAGGAAGUAAAAGUCGUAACA
This 328-nucleotide ribosomal RNA is filed under the name uncultured eukaryote. Its description in RNAcentral is "partial 18S ribosomal RNA". It matches the Rfam family "Eukaryotic small subunit ribosomal RNA", at positions 1470 to 1796 of the family's 1831-position model. The record is from RNAcentral.